CGUAAUAAAAAAAAAAAAAAAAAAAACUGAACAUCGAUCUAAAUCUCCUAUAGCUAGACGCGCGUCAAGACUCGAUCUCUAAAUCAGUUCCUAUCCCGUCUCCUAUAGCUAGACGGCGGAACUCUGUCUCUCUCUUUCUCUCGCUCGAUCUCUCGCUCAAAGCUAGUUCUUAACAAUUCGGCCUCAAUUGCUAUCACGACUACAGAAUCAAGCAAGGUCUCUCUAUCACUGCCCUAAAUUAGUGAUUUCUGUUCGCCUCAGUCAGGUGAAGAAGAAAAGUUACAACUUUGAUGCACUAUUAUCAUCGCUAAUUAUUCCUGGGAUUGGUCUUGGAUAGGAUUCAUAUUGUACUUGGAACAUUUGCAAGACUAACAAGGAAGGUGUAGCAUUCUCUUUGGAGAAAAUCUAGGAGAAUAAACAUGGAUAAGAGUUGGAUUGAUAUACGAGAAACGGACUGGCAUAAAUAUGAAGAUGGAGUUGAUAGUUUUUUGGAGUUUGCAUUCGCCAACAGCGUUGAUCCAACAAGGAUAAAGUGUCCUUGUAAGCUAUGUCGGAAUCGCUAUUUUAAGUCUAGGGAGGAAGCAAGAGAGGAUAUACUGGUAGACGGAUUUUGGGAAAUGUAUAGAAUAUGGGAUAAACAUGGUGAACCUUCCGGACCUGCAGCUCCAUACCAAGGUAGUGGGGUUAACUCUGAUUCGAUCAUCAUGGAUGAUAUGUUUGGCAUGAUUAAUGAGGCGAUUGGGAUUCCCACUGCAAAUCCUGGUUUUGUAGAGUCAAUUCAAUGAAUAUUUGGAAGAGAGGCCAGAAGAUGAACAAGAUGAUACUUUUCGUGAAGAGGUAUUCACUAAAGUGAUGGGAGAAGAUGCACAUGGACGUGUUCGCAUGUAUGGAACAGGUGUAACUCCAUCUCAAGUGUCUGGUAAUUCCAAAGCUUAUGAGACUAAUGAGAAAAGGACAAUUGAGGAAAUGGAAAGAAAAUAUGAGGAAAUGGAAAAAAACUAUCAAACAAAGCUAGAUGAUCUUAAAUUGAGCCAUGAAUCUCAAUUGGGAGACAUGAAAUUAAAGUACGAUGAUGUAUCGAAUCGUCUCAAUCUUUUGAUGGCUCAUGUUGGUAUCCAAGUAAACCCAAGUGGAAGUACAAGUGAACAGAUUCAUGAUUCCUCAAGUUCACAACAACUUAGGCGUAAUAUAGAUACCGAUGGGCAUCGUCAAUUGAAUUUGGAAGGGCAGCGACAAUUAUCUUCGUCUACAAACACAACUACAUGAUAAACUAUAAGGUUGGAGAAAUAUCUAGGUGUUGAUGCUGGAAGUACAAGAUGUCAAUAAAUUUAACAAUUAGCAUGCUACUCUAAACUCGAUUAUUUAGUUUAAUAUUUUGACUACUACUGUAUUCGCAGCGACAUUUUAGUUUGUAUGACUCAAGGCAUGCAUUUGUUAUACAAUUAUUAUAUAUAUUACUCUUUCGUAUCAUUUCAA
Molecule: long non-coding RNA, 1476 nt
Organism: Rosa chinensis
Lineage: Eukaryota; Viridiplantae; Streptophyta; Magnoliopsida; Rosales; Rosaceae
Exons: 7
Source: RefSeq, a predicted model, not a curated record